This 441-nucleotide ribosomal RNA is filed under the name uncultured bacterium. RNAcentral describes it as "partial 16S ribosomal RNA". It matches the Rfam family "Bacterial small subunit ribosomal RNA", at positions 338 to 795 of the family's 1533-position model. The record is from RNAcentral.
CCUACGGGGGGCAGCAGUGGGGAAUAUUGCACAAUGGGGGAAACCCUGAUGCAGCGACGCCGCGUGAGUGAAGAAGUAUUUCGGUAUGUAAAGCUCUAUCAGCAGGGAAGAAGAAAGACGGUACCUGACUAAGAAGCCCCGGCUAACUACGUGCCAGCAGCCGCGGUAAUACGUAGGGGGCAAGCGUUAUCCGGAUUCACUGGGUGUAAAGGGAGCGUAGGCGGCGAGACAAGGCUGGAGUGAAAGGCCGGGGCCCAACCCCGGGACUGCUCUGGAAACUGCCUGGAUGGAGGACAGGAGGGGUAGGUGGAAUGCGUAGUGGAGCGGUGAAAUGCGUAGAUAUUAGGAGGAACACCAGUGGCGAAGGCGGCUUACUGGACUGUAACUGACGUUGAGGCUCGAAAGCGUGGGGAGCAAACAGGAUUAGAUACCCUGGUAGUC